ACGGAGGAUCCGAGCGUUAUCCGGAUUUAUUGGGUUUAAAGGGUGCGUAGGCGGCAUGCUAAGUCAGGGGUGAAAUUCGGCAGCUUAACUGUCGGCGUGCCUUUGAUACUGGCGUGCUUGAAUGCGGAUGAGGUAGGCGGAAUGAGACAAGUAGCGGUGAAAUGCAUAGAUAUGUCUCAGAACACCGAUUGCGAAGGCAGCUUACUAAGUCGUGAUGACGCUGAUGCACGAAAGCGUGGGGAUCAAACAGGA
Molecule: ribosomal RNA, 252 nt
Filed under: uncultured prokaryote
Description: partial 16S ribosomal RNA
Rfam family: Bacterial small subunit ribosomal RNA
Source: RNAcentral